AAGUGGUAUGGCCCUUUUAGAAUUUUUCUGGCAGGUUUUCUGGUUUUCACCAGAAAACAUCCCA
Cercocebus atys (sooty mangabey) is the source of this 64-nucleotide small nuclear RNA. Its record names the gene U7. It matches the Rfam family "U7 small nuclear RNA". Rfam says of the family: Animal histone pre-mRNAs are spliced by a different mechanism than nuclear pre-mRNAs and self-splicing introns. This processing involves the U7 snRNP, which contains only one RNA species: U7. The 5' end of U7 RNA is thought to base-pair to a conserved spacer element downstream of the cleavage site in histone pre-mRNA. Lineage: Eukaryota; Metazoa; Chordata; Mammalia; Primates; Cercopithecidae. The record is from Ensembl.